ACCGAUGAUGGCGAUUACCAUAUCAAGCUGCGCAACCUGAUCAGUUUCCUGGAAGAGGGUGACAAAGCUAAAAUUACGUUGCGCUUUCGCGGCCGUGAAAUGGCGCAUCAGGAAUUCGGUGUGCGCUUGCUGGAGCGGAUAAGGGGUGAUCUGGAGCCGCAUGCGGUGGUGGAGCAGUUUCCCAGAAUGGAGGGGCGGCAGAUGGUAAUGGUGUUGUCUCCCCGGAAAAAGGAAAUAAAAGUAGCCAAGCCGAAGGAAAGCAAGCCGAAGGCGGAGACUGAUGGCGCCACAUCCGCAAUGGAUUCGGGUGCGGUACCAU
RNAcentral lists this unclassified non-coding RNA (319 nucleotides) under Nitrosospira multiformis. RNAcentral describes it as "Long range pseudoknot". Lineage: Bacteria; Pseudomonadati; Pseudomonadota; Betaproteobacteria; Nitrosomonadales; Nitrosomonadaceae. The record is from RNAcentral.